Molecule: non-coding RNA, 72 nt
Organism: Phrynosoma platyrhinos (Desert horned lizard)
Lineage: Eukaryota; Metazoa; Chordata; Lepidosauria; Squamata; Phrynosomatidae
Source: the annotation of a GenBank genome assembly
GCCAGCAUGGUGUAAUGGUUUCCGUGUCAGACUACAGUUCUGGAGACUAGGGUUUGAAUCCCCACUCAGCCA